AUGAGUAUGAAACCGAAUACGAAAUCCAAACUGAUGAAAAAAGGAUCAAGAAUUUGAAGAAAUAUUUGGGAAAAACAGCAUCAGAAUGGUACCAGACAAAUCUGCUGAAGGAUGAAGAAUACAACUGGGAAAAUUGGAAGGUUCAUUCACUGAAUAUGCCAUAAAAAAGGAAUGAUUAAUAUUGGAAGUAAGGAGGAAGACUUCUGAAGAGACAGGGAUAAAUCUAAUUGUUAUUGG
This 237-nucleotide unclassified non-coding RNA is filed under the name Bombus terrestris (buff-tailed bumblebee). RNAcentral's name for it is "misc RNA ENSBTSG00005029963.1". The record is from RNAcentral. Lineage: Eukaryota; Metazoa; Arthropoda; Insecta; Hymenoptera; Apidae.